AUUGAACGCUGGCGGCAUGCCUUACACAUGCAAGUCGAACGGCAGCACGGGUGCUUGCCCCUGGUGGCGAGUGGCGAACGGGUGAGUAAUACAUCGGAACAUGUCCUGUAGUGGGGGAUAGCCCGGCGAAAGCCGGAUUAAUACCGCAUACGAUCCACGGAUGAAAGCGGGGGACCUUCGGGCCUCGCGCUAUAGGGUUGGCCGAUGGCUGAUUAGCUAGUUGGUGGGGUAAAGGCCUACCAAGGCGACGAUCAGUAGCUGGUCUGAGAGGACGACCAGCCACACUGGGACUGAGACACGGCCCAGACUCCUACGGGAGGCAGCAGUGGGGAAUUUUGGACAAUGGGCGAAAGCCUGGUCCAGCAAUGCCGCGUGUGUGAAGAAGGCCUUCGGGUUGUAAAGCACUUUUGUCCGGAAAGAAAUCCUUGGCUCUAAUACAGUCGGGGGAUGACGGUACCGGAAGAAUAAGCACCGGCUAACUACGUG
RNAcentral lists this ribosomal RNA (486 nucleotides) under uncultured bacterium. Its description in RNAcentral is "partial 16S ribosomal RNA". It matches the Rfam family "Bacterial small subunit ribosomal RNA", at positions 30 to 507 of the family's 1533-position model. The record is from RNAcentral.